This 274-nucleotide ribosomal RNA is filed under the name uncultured bacterium. RNAcentral describes it as "partial 16S ribosomal RNA". It matches the Rfam family "Bacterial small subunit ribosomal RNA", at positions 523 to 796 of the family's 1533-position model. The record is from RNAcentral.
AUACGGAGGGUCCAAGCGUUAUCCGGAAUCAUUGGGUUUAAAGGGUCCGUAGGCGGAUUAUUAAGUCAGAGGUGAAAUCCCACAGCUUAACUGUGGAACUGCCUUUGAUACUGGUAGUCUUGAGUUAUAUGGAAGUUGAUAGAAUGUGUAGUGUAGCGGUGAAAUGCAUAGAUAUUACACAGAAUACCGAUUGCGAAGGCAGUCUACUACGUAUAUACUGACGCUAAUGGACGAAAGCGUGGGGAGCGAACAGGAUUAGAAACCCGAGUAGUCC